Molecule: ribosomal RNA, 115 nt
Filed under: Ophirina amphinema
Lineage: Eukaryota; Jakobea; Jakobida; Ophirinidae
Source: RNAcentral
CCAGUAGAUUUUUAAUAUAACAUGCACUACCCGAGACCAUACCGAAUUCGACACGUAACGGCAUGUUAUUACAUGUAUACUGCUUUAGUGGGAAACAUGGGUCUUUAUCUACUGG